Long non-coding RNA from Triplophysa rosa, 471 nucleotides. RefSeq lists it as uncharacterized. The transcript is spliced from 3 exons. NCBI's taxonomy places the organism in Eukaryota, Metazoa, Chordata, Actinopteri, Cypriniformes, Nemacheilidae. The record is from RefSeq and is a predicted model, not a curated record.
AUAAAAAGAAAGAAAGAGAGAGACAUACAGAGCAGCACAAUAAAACACAGAUGUGGCAUGAGUGACGUCUAGUGCAGUGAAGAGGAAUUCCUGCCGGCAGUGUGUUUGGUGAGCUCUGGAUUCUCUUCAUGGGGGUUAGAGUGAGUGAAAGCGAGGCGCUUUUGCGGAUAUAUCCUCCACUGUCUGUGAAAAGCGCAGUGGCACAUUCUGACACACAAAUGCACAUGCAUCAGCACAGCUGCAGGAAAAAACAUUGAUAUGCUGGACAUGCUGCUUGCCAAAAAAGGAAGAAUCUGUUGCUUUUCAUCUGGGAUUUCCACACAGGCUAUUUAUGAGCAUUUAAGCCAGGACACAACAAGCUCUACGUUCUCUCAAAUGUGAACAUCUAAAUCAAAAUUGCCUGCACAGAAGAAAGUUUGUUGCUGUGCUUUCUGUUUCAUGUAACAUGUCCCACACAUAUUUUCUAAACCC